Molecule: long non-coding RNA, 702 nt
Organism: Bufo gargarizans (Asiatic toad)
Lineage: Eukaryota; Metazoa; Chordata; Amphibia; Anura; Bufonidae
Exons: 4
Source: RefSeq, a predicted model, not a curated record
ACGAGAAGAGGGAAGAUGUGACAGCUCCAGGGACCCCCUCCCGUUCUUCUGCAUAGAACUUGCAGAGCAGCUGUUCCUGAGGAUGCAACGAUUAGCGGGGGCAUUCCAGCACAUUAAGAAAGCUGUCCCAGGGACUGUACAUGCUGUUAAUCACUGGCUGCAGCCAUGAACCACCUCACACAAUGAUAUGCCUACCAAAAACUGUAUUUAUUUACCACGAUGUGUUAAUGGGAUUUCUUCAAAUUAUUUUACUUGAAGACCUCGGCAAUACUUUUUCGAAUACUAUAACAAACAGCCAUUGACAAAGGCCAGAAAGCAUCCUUUAUUCUACCAUGAAUGAAAGAAGAGGUUUAAAGAGCAGUCUGCAAGUGCUGGGAUUCUCCUUUAUGUUAUAUUGUAGAGUUGGCCUGCUUUGCUUUUCUUCACUAGAACAUCAACCUGGACACUGUGCUGAUAGUAUGAUGGACAUCUCCAGAAUCAGCUAGAAAAUCCAAGGAAUACAUGGGCACUGCUGCGACCAAGAUCAUAAACAACGUCUUCCAGCACUGGACUGAUGCUUUCAUCAAGUCAACGUUUGAAGACCUCGUGAUUUGGAGAAACGCGCUGUCUGUUUUUGUAUAAAAUUAAGUCCUUGAUGAAAACAAAAUCCAUGUAUCUUUUAAAGACACAUUCUAGCACAUUCUAGUGCAGCAUUUGCUGAUA